UGUAUUAUUGUUAUUAAUGUUAUUAAAUGAAGUUGCAAUCCUUGUUUCUACGAGUGAAAUAAAUGUCGUUCAAUUCUUUCUAUGAUCAAAAGCUCUAUACAAAAUUCUUGCUGAUUAUUAAUCCAUUAAACCUAGUUAAUCUGUAGAUCAAUGUUAAUCCAUUAAUUACAUCCAAUUAACAUGUUGAUCUAUACGAUAUUUUAGAAACUCUUUAAUGUAUAAUUUUAUCCUUAUGUAGUUAAACAGUCUAACAAUGGGUCACUUUCAGAUUCUGUUUAUAAUUGUGUUACUCAACCUGAUUAUUAAACGGGUCAAGCUAGGUCAAGCUGGAUCAAGUGGGUCAGCCUCUAAACCUGAACCAGGGCAUUUAAUAAACAUGUAGUCUUGUUCCCCCAUUUUAUGACCAGAAAGAGAUUAUAUCCAAUCGAAAUCCACUAAUUUUGUGCCUAGUUCCUGUUGGACUGACAGGUUGGAUCAGGGAUUGGCACUCCUUAAUUCAUGUAAUCACAUUAUGCUUCUUGCAUGCAUACAAACCCC
RNAcentral lists this long non-coding RNA (537 nucleotides) under Phoenix dactylifera (date palm). Its description in RNAcentral is "long non-coding RNA (PDAC_LNC011774)". The record is from RNAcentral. Lineage: Eukaryota; Viridiplantae; Streptophyta; Magnoliopsida; Arecales; Arecaceae.